ACCUGCAAAAAAUGCGGGCAAUUUUUUUUCACAAGCUAUUACAACUCUUUAUUAUUUGUAUAUUAGUUUUUAUAACAAUGGUAAAAACCAGCGCUUACUUCAAUAUAUAACACUAAUCAUAUUAUUAUGUUGUAAAAAAGCAGUGAGUAGUGCUAAGAAAAAGAAUGUUAUUUGUCAUAGUGUUAAAGGGGACGCACGUGGUGACGUUGUUUGUAGUAACCGUAGUAGUAAGGCUGUUUGUAUUAAAGGCGGUGAUAAAUGUGAUGACUAUACAAAAGAAAUUACCUUUGCAACUAAUUUUGAAAAACCUUUUAAAGAAUAUUAUUUAAACGUAUCUUUGCACAUUUUUAUAACAUGUAUAGAUGCAUUCACAAAUAUAAUUAAGUGUAAUAUUUUAAAUUUUAAUCACCCUAAUAUAAACAACAUUAUCAUCUCCAAAUCGAAAAUUAUAAGGAAACAAAAAAAACAGCACAAAUAUUUAAAAAAAAAAAAAAAAAAAAUUGUUUAGCUAUAUUUAACUAUAUAUAUAUGAGUUAUUUAUUCAAAUAUAUUAUAAAAGCAAAAAAUAUAAAAUAUUUCUACAGUACUAGGAAAUCUGUAUUAAAUUUUAUUGAUCAUUUUAUUAUAUGGAAUACUAUUUUUACUUUAAAAUAUAAAUUUAAAAAUAAUUUAAAUAUAAACAAUAUUUUAAAUCUUUGUAUUUAUAUUAUUUAUACUGAUUAUGAUAUAGACGUCUUUUCAAUCAUUUAUAGUAUUGUCUUUUCUUUAAAAAAUUUUUUAACUUUAUGUGGAACCAAAAUUAAAAGGUUUAAUUAUUAUUUAAAUGAAUGUGACAAUUUACUGUUUCAAACUGUUAAUGAGUACAAAACUUAUGAUUAUACCUCAACACAUUUAUGGGAAGAAUACAUAUCUAAGACAGUAAGUUUCAAUUCUUUGGUGCAUACUCACACAGACUGCCCAGAGUGAUAGUGCAGAGGACAUACCUACUUACUUACCUACAUUUCCACCGACUUGUAAACACCCCAAUGUUAUGGAAUUUGUUU
This 1043-nucleotide long non-coding RNA is filed under the name Piliocolobus tephrosceles (Ugandan red Colobus). RNAcentral's name for it is "lncRNA (ENSPTEG00000005447.1)". Lineage: Eukaryota; Metazoa; Chordata; Mammalia; Primates; Cercopithecidae. The record is from RNAcentral.